CAAGGGGGAAAGAUUUAUCGCCGAAAGAUCGGCCCGCGUUAGAUUAGCUUGUUGGUGAGGUAAUGGCUCACCAAGGCGACGAUCUAUAGCUGGUUUGAGAGGAUGACCAGCCACACUGGGACUGAGACACGGCCCACACUCCUACGGGAGGCAGCAGUGGGGAAUCUUGGACAAUGGACGCAAGUCUGAUCCAGCCAUGCCGCGUGAGUGAUGAAGGCCUUAGGGUUGUAAAACUCUUUCAGCAGGGAAGAUAAUGACUGUACCUGCAGAAGAAGCCCCGGCUAACUCCGUGCCAGCAGCCGCGGUAAUACGGAGGGGGCUAGCGUUGUUCGGAAUUACUGGGCGUAAAGCGCGCGUAGGCGGCUUGCCAAGUUGGGGGUGAAAGCCCGGGGCUCAACCUCGGAACUGCCCUCAAAACUGGCGAGCUAAAGAUCUGGAGAGGUGAGUGGAAUUCCUAGUGUAGAGGUGAAAUUCGUAGAUAUUAGGAAGAACACCAGUGGCGAAUGCGGCUCACUGGCCAGAUACUGACGC
Molecule: ribosomal RNA, 531 nt
Filed under: uncultured bacterium
Lineage: Bacteria
Description: bacterial SSU rRNA
Rfam family: Bacterial small subunit ribosomal RNA
Source: RNAcentral